RNAcentral lists this ribosomal RNA (684 nucleotides) under Labrundinia fiorelinii. RNAcentral's name for it is "partial 28S ribosomal RNA". It matches the Rfam family "Eukaryotic large subunit ribosomal RNA", at positions 386 to 944 of the family's 3401-position model. The record is from RNAcentral. Lineage: Eukaryota; Metazoa; Arthropoda; Insecta; Diptera; Chironomidae.
UGUCUAGGGGUUCAAACCUAAAGAACCCAAAUAUCUAAACGGAGAAAUUCAAUACUGUCCUUUGCGGGAUGGUGUGCACUUUUCUCUUAGUAAGACGUUGUGAUCCAUUAGGAAUGGAGUGCUCGUUAUGGGCGCUCGAUAGGCUAUCAAUAGACGGACUUUGAAGUUCACGAGAACAAAUGGCAUGAUCUUUUGGUUGUGUGUAUUGCCUUGUGAGCAAAGUCAUGUACUGAUAUAGCUGUCUGAUGGAUUUUAAAGGUCAUAUCAUUGAUGCUUGCAUCACCCGACUUGUUUCGGGCAUCUGGUAUGUACCCGAUCAACAACGGUUUCAUUUGGGAUACCUUUGGGACCCGUCUUGAAACACGGACCAAGGAGUCUAUCUAGUAUGCGAGUAAAUGGGAUAGUUAGCUAAACCUAUUUGCGUAAAUAACUUAACUGUUAUGGGAUUACGUGUACAUUUACUUUACGGUGUGUGCACCUCCAUCCCGGAGUAUUUUCAUCACAUAUACGAGCAAUCGCAUAUAGAAAAUAUAUCAUGAGCAUACUGGACAUGACCCGAAAGAUGGUGAACUAUGCCUGAUCAGGUUGAAGUCAGGGGAAACCCUGAUGGAGGACCGAAGCAAUUCUGACGUGCAAAUCGAUUGUCAGAAUUGGGCAUAGGGGCGAAAGACCAAUCGAACCAUC